RNAcentral lists this ribosomal RNA (492 nucleotides) under uncultured bacterium. Its description in RNAcentral is "partial 16S ribosomal RNA". It matches the Rfam family "Bacterial small subunit ribosomal RNA", at positions 29 to 507 of the family's 1533-position model. The record is from RNAcentral.
AGUGAACGCUGGCGGUAGGCCUAACACAUGCAAGUCGAACGGCAGCACAGUAAGAGCUUGCUCUUACGGGUGGCGAGUGGCGGACGGGUGAGGAAUACAUCGGAAUCUACUUUUUCGUGGGGGAUAACGUAGGGAAACUUACGCUAAUACCGCAUACGACCUACGGGUGAAAGCAGGGGAUCUUCGGACCUUGCGCGAUUGAAUGAGCCGAUGUCGGAUUAGCUAGUUGGCGGGGUAAAGGCCCACCAAGGCGACGAUCCGUAGCUGGUCUGAGAGGAUGAUCAGCCACACUGGAACUGAGACACGGUCCAGACUCCUACGGGAGGAAGCAGUGGGGAAUAUUGGAAAAUGGGCGCAAGCCUGAUCCAGCCAUACCGCGUGGGUGAAGAAGGCCUUCGGGUUGUAAAGCCCUUUUGUUGGGAAAGAAAAGCAGAAGGUUAAUAACCCGCUGUUCUGACGGUACCAAAAGAAUAAGAACCGGCUAACUUCGUG